CCUCGCCUGACCCCUGAGAGCGCCGAGCUGGCUUCCACGAUAUGGGUGCCUGCAGCUUAUUUAGAAAAUAAAUAUCUACCGGUAGGAGACGAGUGGGGUGACUCAGUGGGUAAAGGUGAAAGAGACAUUGCAAAGACUUUCAGGACUUUAAAAGUUGUAAUAUAAGUUUGGUGUUGGUUUUUUUUUUUUUUUUUCCUUUCCACACUCCUUUGAGGUGGGCUAUUUCUAUGAAGAAAAUUCUGCUCACAUUACAAAAGGGGGAUGUCAGGGGGUUUGACUGUCAUUGAAGUUGAAAUGAACUUUGUCACCCUGUUUAAAUAUUUAAGUCUCCUGACACAGGCAAAUACAUCACGAAGUGCUAAAAAAUAUAUUUAAAAAUACAGCUGCCUUUGAGAUGAAGCAUUUCUAUUCCCACUGUAUCAGUUCACUUUGCUAAAGCAGCCCUGAGGUACAGAGUAUGGCAAGAAACUGUGGACUGGAUAGGAAGCUCCACUAUCAGAACCUGUGCAUUUGCAGGGGUAGCAUUUUGUUUUAUGCUCUUUUAGCCACUCUGUUGAUUUCCAAGAGCUUAAACAUCUUAUCAAUAUGCACAUGUACCAGUUUUCUUUCUACUUCCAGUAAUAUUAUGUCCUUUUCCCUUAAGUAGCUGUAGUUUUAUUAUAGUUUCAUAUUGUUUUGCAUACUGGUAAUGUUUAGGGGAUUUUUUUUUUUUUUUACUUUCUCUUAGCAGUCUCACCUUCCCUGCACACAUACAAUGUUUCCACUUUUAUGUCUGUUUUUGGUUGUAUUAAAAGUGCUAAUUUAACUCAGAAGUCAGAAAACGAUCUUCAAACCUUGUUCUGUAACACGUCUUCACUUUGGAUGCAACACUGAGAAACAUAAUGGAUGUACUUUAAAAUAAAAGUGGAUUUUUUAAAAGAUUUAUUUUGAUAAAAUAAUUGUCAUAUGAAAACUUUAAUGUGAUUCAGGGCAGAAACCAGUUUUAUUUAUAUUGGUGCACUUUGUCUGAGAUUAUCUCAAAGGGUAAUAGCUUCCUGGGCAGCUGCGAGUGUGCAAGGCUAAAGCUGGAGGCACUUGUGUGAGUGGGACCCCUCAGCCACAAUUUAAAGUGUUGUCUCAAAAGCAAACCAUAUGCACCAUGCUGACAGCAGACAGUCUCUUUAGUUUCAUCCCUUCAUGAGGAGGUGGAGGGACUCAUGAUGAGCACUCUGCUUGAAUCUCCUGUGGGCCACAAAAGUGAGAGGCUGGAACUGGAGAUUGCCAUGAAAAAGACUUGAGUGAACUGAAGGAGACCAGCUCAUAGUGGAAAUGAUACGAUAAAGGUAGAACCAUAAACUUCCAUUUUGCUGAUGGUUUCUCCAACUCUGGCCCCACACCAGUUUGGUUUUGGUGGGCUUGGCUGAUAACACACACAUCUUAAUCUCCAAGGGUGUGAAAGAUUCUACCAAAUCCUACAGCUGAUGAGAAGUGAGGCAUUUAUACAUCCUUAUAGGUUGCUUUGUACAUUUCUUGGAGACAGAAAAAUAUUCAAGAUAGAUUGUUCGCAAACAUUUUGAGUAAAUCCUUCCAUAUCUGAAGGAGAAGACCAUUCAGGUUGUGCCCUAUCCUUACAACUUUUUAGUUGUUUUCAGAACAACUGAAAAGUGCAUAUGCAGCACCUGCUGGGAUAAAUAGGGGCUGAAAGUUCUCCUAGGUAUUGAAAAAAUAAUCAUUCCAGUUUCCUUACUACAGCUCUUUUUUGAGUCUGAAACUAUAUAAACUAUAUAUCACAUAUUGACAUUUAUGUCCUUCAGCAGUGUGACAUCACUUGUCACUUAAUGUAAAUUUGUCCGAGUCAUACAAAAGUCAAGUAUCUGAAAUGUGAGCUCCUAGUUACAAAGAAAUAUACUCUUACUGACUGACUCAUAAUUUUUUUGCUCUUAUGUUCAAGCUCGUGGAAAAUGAAUAUGCAACCAGGAAUUAAGACGGUAGUUAAAACCUACAUAAAGAAUUUUAAACAAACUGUGCAAACUCUACAAGUCUAUGUCCAGAUCCCAUCUGCUCUCAGUCACAAAAGUAUGUAAAAUAAGCCCUUCCAAUGAGCACAGUGGGAUGGGGAUUCCUUCAGCGUGACACUGAUGUGUUUGACCUGCCCUUGGCCUACAGAUGUGUGCCCAUGUGUGAGCAGCGAGGAUGCUAUCUGCCUGAAAAGGUAUAUGCAGGAUAAACACAUUGGGCUGGUGUUUCAAGCAAUUUGAAGAUAAGUUUUGAGUAUACUUUUUAAAGCUGUGACUUUGGUGAAGAAAGCAACUAACAUUUUUAAUCUGUCACACCCCCAAAGACAUCUCUUUGUCCGUCCAUCUGUCUUGCUUUGUUUUCAGGCUGUUUUGUUGUGAAAGUGUUUUUAGGGAUACCCUGUGGGAUAUAUGUUGUGGAAUAUGUGGUGGGAUAUAUAUUGUGUUUGAGGUGAUGACUCUGUGGUCCUCCUGUGCAUACCAGAAGUGAAUUCCUUUCUAAUUAUGCACACCAGCUGCUGUCCAAGUUCUGUCUCCUGCACUAACAUGUUUCUGCACUGGGAGAAACACUUUGUUCACAUCUGGGGAGUAGCUGAUGUAAUGAGUCAUGAUUGCAGAGGACAAAUCCUAAGCAUAAUUCAGACUAGUUGUAUGUGUGAAUUUGAAAGUGCAGGCUAAAAUCUUAAAUAUUACCUUGUCUUUAAUAGGAUGCCAGCGGAGGAAAUGGAGUAAUGGUGUGAUGUCUUCUCAGCAAAGAGGCUGUUCUCAUGUAAAUCAACUUUCUUGAGAUUAGCUGUUGUAAACUUGGAUACUUGGAUUAUGCUUGUGACUUUUGGUCACCAAAUAUGCAUAGAUUACUCUAAAUCUAACCACAGAGGGAAGAGAGCAUUUUUGAAAACAAAGAUGAGUUGUGCAAGGAGAGAAGUGUUCAAAGGAAGCCUGAAUCUAGGCCCAUCUGUAGUGAUCUCAGAGGAGAUGUGGGAAAGGGAGACAUUGUUGUGUGGGUGAUGGGGAUGUCUAGAAACUCCUCUGAUAAGGAAUGUGAUCACUUCUAUGUCUCUGCACAAAUGAUCAGAAUUAAAGCAGAGGGAACAUUUGGAAGAGGGCAGAUGUGAGUAGCUCUGUUAAGAGGAUAGCAGAAAAAGAAAUAGGAAAAUAGGAAAAGUGGUCUUCAAAUAGGAAGAGAGUAAAGAUAAAGUGUUAGGUCAAAUUAUUUUGAGUCAUGAAUAGUUAGUUUGUUGUCUUGUGUUUAUUGGAACAAAAAUAAGGUAGAAAAGUAGAAAUUCUAUGCUGAGCUCAUGAAUCCUCAUAUAUAAAACAGGUGCAAGCUGGGAAGGUGUUCUCAAGCCCUAGAUUUGCAACUGUGAUAGAGGUGCAGACAACAUGAAAAUCGGUUUUUAUUUUCAGCUUUGGUCACUGAUGUAGAUAAGAGAGUGUAUGUGAACAUCUGUGUGUUUGCUGUAGAUGCAUUUUUUUUUUGUCACUGAAGAGAAGUACUGGCCUUUGUCAGAAGAAUGGGAGAAAAAAAGUUGAUGCUUUUGCUGUCACAGUUGUGGUCUGGAACAUAAUGCAAGUAUUAAAACAUCAGGGACUCUCAAGGGCACCAUUAAGGAAUCAACUAUUGUGAUUGAUGGAAAAAUAAAGAAAUCGAAGAAGAAAUGAAGACAAACUACAAUGUGGACUUUUUCCUGCAGUCCCAUGAUAUCUUCAGCAUUAAGUGAUUUUGGCAGAUAAUUUCUACUAUGAAGCAUGUGGAUAGCCAGAAGGCUAUUAAGAGAGAAUGAUACUAUAAUAUAAGCAUGGAGGAUUCUUAUAGAGUGUAUCUUUCGCUCAUUCAAAGUACAUGAUGAAAAAUGAUGUGUCCAGAGUGCUAACAAAUUAUAACAAAGUGCAAAUUUUCCACAUGUAUAUAUUUUUAUGUAUGUAUAUAUAUAUAUAUAUAUAUAUAUAUAUAUAUAAUGUUAAACCACCUUUACUAUCAUAAGCUGGCAUUUUCUCCCCCACCCUGUGCUAUUUAUUUCCUAUUUAUAAAAAUAAUUCCAACUGCAUCUUUUAGCUAAUCCUAGCUAGCUCCAUAUGCAGGCUGACAAUAUGCCUGAGGUGAUAAUAUGUCUGGUCAGUUAGACCAGUGUGUGGUAGAUGUAAAAUCCUUAAAUGGGAAUGCAGGAUUCUGAUGGAAUAAGACCCCAUGUUCACUUUGCACAGAUGAAAAUGAUCUCAUCAUGUGCAAGACGAUAGUGGAUAAGGCUCCUCCUUUCUUCCUGGUACAAAUUAAAUUUGAGUGAUGUAAUGAAUAUAUAAACAUGCAGCUAGAUGGAUUCACUCUCUCUCCCACCCAUCUUUAUCAUUUACAGACUCAUCUUACUAGUUUGGCUUUCCAUGUUCUAUGAAUUAUUUGUGAACAGAUAAAUUAAUUUAAUUACUUUUUAAAAAUUAUAAUUGUGUUUGUGAAACCUUCCUGAAGAAUUGUUGUAAGCCUUUGGAUUACUACAGGGCUGUGCUCACUGUAGUGUUACUGGUCACCUCUGCGGCACAGGAGAGCUACCAGUCUCUUGAACAAUUCCAAACACAGUGUAAAUAUAAAGCUUCUAUUUCUAUCUUUAGAGAGGUUUAUGUGCCCAAAACAUCUGGAUUUUUUUCCAUGCUACCAUAGGCUUGUUAGAAGGCUUUCCUUCUCCCUGUUAGCUAUGUCGAGUUUCUGUGCUUUGACUGUGAUCAUUAUGAGAACAUAUCACACCCGAAAGCAUGUUCAUUUUCCACGUUUUCAUUUUGCCCAGGGAAAGAAUACAAGAGCAAUUUGAAGAGCUAGAUGAUACAGACUGGCAUUCAAAAUGCCAUUUUGCUGGUGCUUAUUUUAAACCUUGUUCUUCCUGGGCCAAAUCGGACUGACUUCAGUCUGUAACAAGCUCCUUUCAAGGUGUAUCUACUUGCAUCUGUGCCAGUUCUCUGGGCAGGAGUGGUACUAGCUGCAGUAACGUCAAUAGUGGUGCCAAUAAUUUUAUCUGUGUUAAAGCCAAUGCUGUGGCCUUAGAUUUAAAAAGCAAAAACCAAACACAAUUCUUCCUCAUGGCAGAGAUUAUGUCAGGCACAGUACAGAAGUAUUUAGAGUGCCAUUUUAUGAGUUAUUGGUACACAUUUUUUCCUAUCACUAUUACAGAACACGUACUGAAGAAGUACAUGGAUCAACAUUGAUGAAAAAAUGCUUAACACUUAUUUGUAUGUCCUAAGUAGGAAUAGUUCUGGAUACUAAAUAAAGGCAUUUCUAAGACCCUGUAUUUGCAGGUGAAGAGGGAAUUUGGCUGAAGCCAAGCAAAUGUUUUUGUGCUGCCUUUGUUUAGAUCAAUUUUGUCUACUCUGCACUCCGUAUCUAGGUUUCCAGUCAACUUCACACACAGAGAACAGACAUACAAAUCUUGGGGAGAAAUAGAAAAGAUUUAUUCUAUUUGCUUUCACAGAACGAAGAUGUUAGUGUAUGCAGAGUUGGGAUAGGUUCCUAUCGUGACAGAACAAAACUGACUUUUCAGCUAGUGCCUUACCAUGGCAAUCUGCUUCAAAGGAGCAACUGUCAUUUUUGAUAAGGAUAGUGAGAAUUACUGUCAUCUGGAGAGAUCACUAUGCCUCUGGGUUGUAUAGUAUGUUACAACAGAAAAAUUUAUUCUUUAAGAGAUAAAUAACUAUUCCACUACAAAAUUUUAUUUCUGGUUUUGAAAAGACGCAGUUUGUACCCUGCAUGAUUAUUAUGUAGCUCCUUAGCUAGCUCUCUUUAAAUAUAAACUUGUGAUAUGCUUUUUUUAAAGUAUAUAUAUAUGGCAGAGAGUCAGGCAGAAAAAGCAGCUAGUUAGUGGAAACCUUCACAGGGCAAGUGGAUUUGGGGAGGGUGCAUGCAGACCACAUGCCUCCCCACAGCCAAGAGCCAAAGAAGCAGCUUGCAGUCUCACAGAAGCCGCGCAGCUGAGCGAGUUAUUAUGGAGAGCUUCUCUGUGGCUGAGCCAGUAAGAGCUGGGUGCUAAACUUGUUUCCGCUUGAAGUUGCUCUUUGCAUACUUGUUAAGGCAGAAUGUUCUACCUUUUCACCUCUGCAAUACUGGGUGUGAAACAUGAGCCUCUAGGUGUUUCCUGGCUGGCAAGAAUUCAAUGGUAAUAAAAUUACUAGUAGAAUAAAUGUUUCAGAGGCAGUUAUCCUCUCUCACCUGUUUGUAAUUUUUUAUUAAUUAUUACAAAUGUGUUUAAGUACUCUACCUGAUUUUAAUCUGCUGUAUUCCCAGGAUUUACAUAUAAAGGUCUUUUUCCCACAGAAUAAUGAAUAAUCACAUAUGUCAGGGUGUGGUGUUAAAAUACUGAAGGUUGGUGAUACACCUACUAGCAAUCGCUCAUUUUGUAAAAGGCUGGGUUCUAGAAGUAGUUUGCUUUUUAUGGCUUUGAUCCAAAAUUCUGUUGAAAUCAGACUCUUAUUGAGUUAAAAAGCUACGGAUCUAGUCCCAAAUGUUCUUUUAUGGGAAGUGUUUGUAGUGCCAUUGUUAACAAUAUAUGCAGCACUGGGCAUGUGAACUGUAUAAGUAGAAAUUUUACUUUUCCCAAAGCUCCUGCUUGCUUUUAUGCAUUCUUUGCUCAAGCAAACAGCAGGUGGCUUACAUGAAUAGUGGGGUUAAUGAGACUACUUAAGUGAGCAAGAGUGGAAAAAAAAUUGCAAACUGGUCCUCUAUUUCAGAGAAUUGAGGACUUGCUAGAUAGAGCUGAGAACUGUAAAGGAUUAAUAUUAUUAUAUAUUGAAAGAAAAGCUGACCAGGAUGGAGGUGGCAGAGGGGAGGAGGGUUUGUUUUUCCAGGAACAGCAGAGCUAAUGAGAUCUAAUGCUUUUGUUUCUUAAUCCCUGAACUGAAUUAAUCUCCCUCCCUUCCCAUGUGAUGUCAUCCCCUAGGUGCAGGGAAGCCGCAGGGCAAGAUGCAAUGCUGCCUGGUCAGCCAAACAGAGGGUGAGGCAGCCUAACUUAGCAGUGCCUCCCCUUAGUAGAGGUACUAACCUUGUCCCUGCUCUCCUACCCCUUUCAAUUCUCAUGAGUUAUAAAGAAACCUAGUUAUCUUUUUCAUUUCAGAUUGGAUUGAAAUAGGACAAUGAACUCACAAGUUAUUUGGGAGGCGAGAAGAAAAGAUAAUACAAUUGUGUAGUCCAUUUUCUUACCAACAACAAAAAUUAUCCUGAACUCCACUUGGUUGAACAUAUAAUUCUCCAUUCAGAUCCCAUAACAACAUGGCCUUUAUGAAUUUCUGAAUACUUUACUUUCAGAAUAAUAUACCUCAAAAAGAGUAAGCCCUAAUGAGUGAUAAAGUAGGAACUGGAUCAUGUGGAUAAUAGUUGUGAUUUCUCACUAUGCCAUAUUUAUGCCAAGCAGCAUGUUACCUUUGCUGCCAAACAGGGAGGAUGAGGAGGAAAUAUUUUAUACAGUUUUAGGUUUUGUUCUCUUUUUCGAUUUUCUCUUCCAUCUCAAUAUUACUGAUUUGACAAGAUGCAAAGAACAAAAAUACCAACCUACUGCAAGAAGUGAAUUUUACACUGGGCCUAUAAUAUCUGUAAAGGAAACAGUUUGUAAGUAACUGAAGCCUUGAUGGGAUUUGAGAAGAUUGGAUUUUGAAUGUCAAUGGAUCUCAAACUGUAGCUACACAGCUGGAUGCCAGUGUUAUCUGGGCAAGUAUCAAGUAGGAUUUCACAGCAUAGUGGCUACUUAAAAAAUUCCCAACACUCUUGCCUAGCAGACAAGAUUUAUAAAUAUGAACAGUUAGUGUUUGAAAGUUAAGGAAGUCACAAAGACCCAGCAACAAAGCAAUCCAACAGAGGAAUCUUCUUCCCACUUUUAAACUCAGAAAGUGAUUGCUCUCAAGCAAAAGUGACAUCAAAUGCUUUUUUAGAUAAAAGGCAGUACAAAUAAGAAAGAUCCUCCAGGAGAGGCUUUAAAGUGUCUUUCAAAAUUAGCAAGCACAAAAAGCCCAUAGGUCAAGAAUCAAGUCCUCUCCUGUAAUCCGUGUUCACUCAGAUAGCAUUUCAAGCUCAAGCUCCUGGAACUGACCUUCAAAAAGUCAUUUCUUCAUGAAAUGCAUGUUAUUCUAUUGUCGCUAUUCAUCCACCUCUAAACACCUGGCAUCAGGCAAAGUUCAAGGGAAUCAAACAUUGAACUGACCCCUUGAGGGGGAAAAAAGUAAGAGCAGCACCAGGACUGGACAAAAGGCUGGAAAAUGGACAUUGAUAUGUGGAGCAGUGAGUAUUGUGUGGUCACUGAUCUUGACAAUUACUAAGUUUGGAAUAAAUUGUGCUAUAAAAAUUAAUAUACUCAUUGUACAUAUAUUAUGUGUAAACACAAGCAUUUUCUUGCUGAUGAGCCUUGCAUGUUGCUUGGAAUUAGCUAAUAUAAGAAUUAGUAGAAAUUGUAUCCCUACCAGUGCCUCCUUCAAUUUUGUGCUUGAAAACAAUUUCAACAAUUUAUGAAGUGGAAAUACACAAUAAAGGUAACUUGUAA
Molecule: long non-coding RNA, 8500 nt
Organism: Passer domesticus (house sparrow)
Lineage: Eukaryota; Metazoa; Chordata; Aves; Passeriformes; Passeridae
Exons: 3
Source: RefSeq, a predicted model, not a curated record